GACGAACGCUGGCGGCGUGCCUAAUACAUGCAAGUAGAACGCUGAAGAGAGGAGCUUGCUCUUCUUGGAUGAGUUGCGAACGGGUGAGUAACGCGUAGGUAACCUGCCUUGUAGCGGGGGAUAACUAUUGGAAACGAUAGCUAAUACCGCAUAACAAUGGAUGACGCAUGUCAUUUAUUUGAAAGGGGCAAUUGCUCCACUACAAGAUGGACCUGCGUUGUAUUAGCUAGUAGGUGAGGUAAUGGCUCACCUAGGCGACGAUACAUAGCCGACCUGAGAGGGUGAUCGGCCACACUGGGACUGAGACACGGCCCAGACUCCUACGGGAGGCAGCAGUAGGGAAUCUUCGGCAAUGGGGGCAACCCUGACCGAGCAACGCCGCGUGAGUGAAGAAGGUUUUCGGAUCGUAAAGCUCUGUUGUAAGUCAAGAACGGGUGUGAGAGUGGAAAGUUCACACUGUGACGGUAGCUUACCAGAAAGGGACGGCUAACUACGUGCCAGCAGCCGCGGUAAUACGUAGGUCCCGAGCGUUGUCCGGAUUUAUUGGGCGUAAAGCGAGCGCAGGCGGUUUGAUAAGUCUGAAGUUAAAGGCUGUGGCUCAACCAUAGUUCGCUUUGGAAACUGUCAAACUUGAGUGCAGAAGGGGAGAGUGGAAUUCCAUGUGUAGCGGUGAAAUGCGUAGAUAUAUGGAGGAACACCGGUGGCGAAAGCGGCUCUCUGGUCUGUAACUGACGCUGAGGCUCGAAAGCGUGGGGAGCGAACAGGAUUAGAUACCCUGGUAGUCCACGCCGUAAACGAUGAGUGCUAGGUGUUGGAUCCUUUCCGGGAUUCAGUGCCGCAGCUAACGCAUUAAGCACUCCGCCUGGGGAGUACGACCGCAAGGUUGAAACUCAAAGGAAUUGACGGGGGCCCGCACAAGCGGUGGAGCAUGUGGUUUAAUUCGAAGCAACGCGAAGAACCUUACCAGGUCUUGACAUCCCGAUGCUAUUUCUAGAGAUAGAAAGUUACUUCGGGACAUCGGUGACAGGUGGUGCAUGGUUGUCGUCAGCUCGUGUCGUGAGAUGUUGGGUUAAGUCCCGCAACGAGCGCAACCCCUAUUGUUAGUUGCCAUCAUUCAGUUGGGCACUCUAGCGAGACUGCCGGUAAUAAACCGGAGGAAGGUGGGGAUGACGUCAAAUCAUCAUGCCCCUUAUGACCUGGGCUACACACGUGCUACAAUGGUUGGUACAACGAGUUGCGAGUCGGUGACGGCGAGCUAAUCUCUUAAAGCCAAUCUCAGUUCGGAUUGUAGGCUGCAACUCGCCUACAUGAAGUCGGAAUCGCUAGUAAUCGCGGAUCAGCACGCCGCGGUGAAUACGUUCCCGGGCCU
This 1369-nucleotide ribosomal RNA is filed under the name uncultured bacterium. RNAcentral's name for it is "bacterial SSU rRNA". It matches the Rfam family "Bacterial small subunit ribosomal RNA", at positions 28 to 1381 of the family's 1533-position model. The record is from RNAcentral.